UACGUAGGGGGCAAGCGUUGUCCGGAAUCAUUGGGCGUAAAGAGCGCGUAGGCGGCCCAGUAAGUCCGCUCUGAAAGUCAGAGGCUCAACCUCUGAAUGCGUGUGGAUACUGCUGGGCUAGAGUCCGGAAGAGGCGAGUGGAAUUCCUGGUGUAGCGGUGAAAUGCGCAGAUAUCAGGAGGAACACCGAUGGCGAAGGCAGCUCGCUGGGACGGUACUGACGCUGAGGCGCGAAAGCGUGGGGAGCAAACAGG
RNAcentral lists this ribosomal RNA (253 nucleotides) under uncultured bacterium. RNAcentral describes it as "partial 16S ribosomal RNA". It matches the Rfam family "Bacterial small subunit ribosomal RNA", at positions 524 to 776 of the family's 1533-position model. The record is from RNAcentral.